RNAcentral lists this ribosomal RNA (253 nucleotides) under uncultured bacterium. RNAcentral's name for it is "partial 16S ribosomal RNA". It matches the Rfam family "Bacterial small subunit ribosomal RNA", at positions 524 to 776 of the family's 1533-position model. The record is from RNAcentral.
UACGUAGGUGGCGAGCGUUGUCCGGAUUUACUGGGUGUAAAGGGCGUGUAGGCGGGAAUGUAAGUCAGAUGUGAAAUUUAGAAGCUCAACUUCUAAGCUGCAUCUGAAACUAUGUUUCUUGAGUGAUGGAGAGGAAAGUGGUAUUCCUAGUGUAGCGGUGAAAUGCGUAGAUAUUAGGAGGAACACCAGUGGCGAAGGCGACUUUCUGGACAUUAACUGACGCUGAGGCGCGAAAGCGUGGGGAGCAAACAGG